RNAcentral lists this ribosomal RNA (492 nucleotides) under uncultured bacterium. Its description in RNAcentral is "partial 16S ribosomal RNA". It matches the Rfam family "Bacterial small subunit ribosomal RNA", at positions 29 to 507 of the family's 1533-position model. The record is from RNAcentral.
AGUGAACGCUGGCGGUAGGCCUAACACAUGCAAGUCGAACGGCAGCACAGUAAGAUCUUGCUCUUACGGGUGGCGAGUGGCGGACGGGUGAGGAAUACAUCGGAAUCUACUUUUUCGUGGGUGAUAACGUAGGGAAACUUACGCUAAUACCGCAUACGACCUACGGGUGAAAUCAGGGGAUCUUCGGACCUUGCGCGAUUGAAUUAGCCGAUGUCGGAUUAGCUAGUUGGCGGGGUAAAGGCCCACCAAGGCGACGAUCCGUAGCUGGUCUGAGAGGAUGAUCAGCCACACUGGAACUGAGACACGGUCCAGACUCCUACGGGAGGCAGCAGUGGGGAAUAUUGGACAAUGGGCGCAAGCCUGAUCCAGCCAUACCGCGUGGGUGAAGAAGGCCUUCGGGUUGUAAAGCCCUUUUGUUGGGAAAGAAAAGCAGCAGGUUAAUACCCCGCUGUUCUGACGGUACCCAAAGAAUAAGCACCGGCUAACUUCGUG